UGUUGUUGCUCCGGUAGUGGUGUUUCUGGAAAAUGGCUACUGCCUUGUCAUUCAAAACCCUGAUAUCAAUCCGGUGCACCAUAAAAACAACUUUUCUGAUCCUAAACCCAUCUUCCAUGUCUGGCGCGGUCGUAUGGGAAACAAGUAUGGUGAGCAAUGGCGGCACCAAAGGUUGGACAAAGCCAGUCUCUUCUCCACCUAUGUCUUCAACCUCCGAGAUUUAAUUCUUCUUGGGAUGCUUACAUUUGGAGACCCAAAAGUAAGCAUCUUUUUGCUGCCUUUUGGUCCGAUUACGCCAAACUUGCUAAAUAUGGCCAUAAUAGCCCAUCUCCUGAUCGUGGGCAAAAAUCCUGUGGUUGGGACCCUGGACACAUAGGAGCCUCCAUUGGACCACCCAGGUUGGGCUCUAGGCAAGCAGAGGCCGAAGAUUACAACUUGGGGUGUCUAAAAGGCCAGACAUUGUGGCCAGCCGAACUCAGAAGCGACCGAUGAAGAGCAUGUGGCCUUUAUCUUUUUUUGGCUUUACAGGUAUGUCGUCUGCCCCUCCUUCAUCUUUCGCACACUUGGAUAUUUCUAUCUAUUUGGCCAUGGAUUGAUUUUGGUCUAUUGGCACUUUAUUCUUGUUUAACCUUUUCUAAUGUCUUUACAAAGUUAGUGUUGACCUGUCCAGCCAAGCCAAGCUCAAUACUGGUUGUCCGGGCUCUUUUUGGUUUGUGAAACUCUUAUUCUGUUUGUAUUUUCACCCAAUAUUUUUCAGCCGCCUAUCUCCCUUUCCUGACCCAAGUUGAAUGCUUGGCUUAUCACUCCUCCAAUUCUGCUCUGAACAAAACCACUUUCGUCUUCCUCUUGCCACCAUUCAGUCCAUCCUUAAAUUUGAUUCAUCCAAUAUCCAAUACUACCCAUAUCAAAAUUAUGUCAUCUAUGCCACCUUUCUGUUAUAGUUCUCUCUUGUGGAUGAUUUUCCUUAUCCUCUUUCUUUUCCUCUUCUUCACCCAACCUACGUUAAUUCCUAGGAUUCUACCCUCAAACCAAGGUCGCUCUUCGUCAGUGAGAAGUUGGAGAAGGGAAAAAAAGCUUAUGUCGUCUUCCAUUGCCAACUCUAGUACCUGGCUUGCCAAUUCAGUUGCUGUCAGGUCUUUCCAGACCCUGUCUCUUAUCCUCACUUUAUCUCCAUCACCCCAGAGGGUCUGGCUCGAUCUCAUCAAAUAAAAUCCUACAUCGACCUCCUAUCAGCCUAUACUACCUCCUACUUAUACACCCAUUUCAAACUCUCCCCCGAAUCAAUCAAAGGUUUUAAGAAAUGGUGGGGCCUCGUCUAGGCCGUCAUAGGGCGACUAAUCGAAGACUGUGUGCGGAUCCUUUCCCCUCCACCAUUGUUGGCCUAGAGUCCCAGCCUGUCUUAACCAAUUUGCGGGAACCCGCUCCACCAAAGCGCAAGGCUGCGAUAGGGCAAAGGGCAAGUUCCAGUGCUCCGAAGAGAAAGAAGGCCUCUGAGCCUUCUUAAUCAGUAGCUGGCCCGCCAACCACCAACUCAUCACCCGAGAAAUACCUAGUAUCCUCUCCAAUAGACACUACCUGGCUCCCAAUCAGCCUGCGACGGACGCUCCCUAUAGCUCUUAGUAACAUCCCAUAUUUUUUUUAAGAUCGUCUUUAAAAUAUAACUUAUUCUUACAUUGUUAUUUCUGUAUAGUUGGCAUUGUUGAUUCUUCUAUUGGACCGAUUGUCCUCAAGUUGAAUCCAGACACUACAUUGCCAACCAUCACACCAACUGUCUAGGAAGGUGCCAAAACUCUGCUACUCUGACCAACCUUCUGACCAACCCAAUUCACAAUCCUUAUGUUUCUCACCCUACACCACCUUUCGUAGCCGAUCAAGGGGCUACACCCCUGUUUUCGGGCGACCUCCAGGCCCCCAAAACUGACAGGGUCGACAUUACUCUUGCUUUUUGUCCCCCAAAGAGACUAGUCGGUAAACGGCCAAUGUGAGGAGGCACCGGUUGUGAGGCAAGGCUCUGCAGAGCAGUUUUUCAUCUCUUUUAGUUGGCCACUCCAUUCGCUCCAUCAAAUUAUUUUGACCGCGAGUCGGUGGCUCCGGGGGAAGAAGUUUUUGUAAGCAUUUUCCGUUGUUUGUCAUUUUAAUCUCUUUUGCAAAUACUAACUUCCAUUUAUUUUGGGAAUCAAACCACCAAUCCUUGCCACCACUGAAGCACAAGUUGGCGAUUCUCCGACUACACUCACACUGCCCGACAUACUAAUUGUAGUGGCCUGUGAAGAUCUAAGUUGGGCCACUGACGUUCUAGCUCAUAAAUGCCUAAGUAUGAUGAGACGAGUGAGGGUGCAGCCAACUAUGGCAAGAAAUGCUCUUUUUGCUUGCGCCCGAGCUUGCCGGCCAGGUGUCCACUGCUGACGAGUGACAAUCCAGAAGUUUUGAGAAACGAUUAAGUGUAGAUCUCCCAACGGUCAACAAUCUAUUACUGGCCAACAACGAUAGUCUCGCUUGAGCUGUGCCAAUGCCCUCCAGCCAAGUCAAGUAGGAAGGCAAGAGAGGAAUAUCUGUACCCAGCUGAUAUAGUCCCGCAGACGAGCAAGCAAGCUAGGAGUUAGGGCAGUUCCAACUGCUCAACCAACUAACUGCUUAACUGCCUAACGGUUGCAACAACAUCUCAACUGCUACUCUGUAAUCGCACAACUUCCACCAACUGUCGUCCCAUAAAAUCUAUAAAUAGGGCCAUAUUUUAUUUGUAUCAUAUCAUUCACUAUGUGAUAAACUUCUUGCUUUUACUAUGUCGAUUUCCUGGUAGCUCUAUUCCUGUAACAGAGUUCUCUUAGUUAGAGAGGAGGUCAGGGAAGUGGAGAUUCUCUCGUACCCUAAAUGCCCAGUUUUAAGUUACUUUCUAGGCAGAUUUACAGCUUUUAUUUAUCCCUUUGUAAUGUAGAUUUAAAUUUUUCCUGGUGUUAAUUUAAUAUCAAGAUUUCUUUAUCUUCAAAUUCAUUCC
Long non-coding RNA from Andrographis paniculata, 2995 nucleotides. RefSeq lists it as uncharacterized. The transcript has 3 exons. Lineage: Eukaryota; Viridiplantae; Streptophyta; Magnoliopsida; Lamiales; Acanthaceae. The record is from RefSeq and is a predicted model, not a curated record.